Monodelphis domestica (gray short-tailed opossum) is the source of this 11097-nucleotide non-coding RNA. The record is from RefSeq and is a predicted model, not a curated record. Lineage: Eukaryota; Metazoa; Chordata; Mammalia; Didelphimorphia; Didelphidae.
UUAAGUUAAUCUAACUACUACUAAUUCAGUGUUUAUCUAACUUUAUCCACUGCGGUGGCUGGUGGAAGAAUUGGUGAAGGUGUUCUAUUUGUGGCUUCAUUUUACCAAUCAUUUGCUUUGGUUUCUGGCCUCGUGGCCUUCCUUUUCAGGCUAUUUGCAGCAGGAAGAACUGAGCAAUGUCCUUAAGACUGACGUUUACAAGACGGGAACCCAAGAGGUCUGUUGAGGGAAAAGGGAAGGGCCCCCGAGCUUUGGCCCCUUCUUGUCUUUGACUCCUCCAACACCCAUCUGUAGCUGGUCCCUUUGUGCUACCUACAAUUCCCAUCUCUCCUCUGUAGACAAUUUCCCCUUCUUGAAAGCAAGCCCAACUUAUAUGGCCCCCACUUCCAGGAAGCCUCUUCUGCUCCUUGUGUCACAGAGGCCGAGGUGGAACCCAGGCACUGGAAGGCAAAAGUCUGGUAGGCACCAGUUGAGGAUCAUAGGGGGCUAAUGCCCAUCAGGGACCCCAGCCAAUGUGCCUGAGCAUCAGGGAAGUGUUGCUCUAGUCUGCCCCCUAGAUAGCCACUCUUAGCCCUUGGUGGUAAUCAGGGAGCCAGAAACCAAGCAGAGGUAUGUCUGAACAUUGGAAACCAAAGUGAGAACUGAUGGGCCUUCCAUGUCCCCAUCAACCUUUAUGGGGCAAGAGUCUCCUUCAUGCUAACUGUCCCCUCUUCCACCUCCACCCCCCACCCCCAAGGCCUACACUUUGGUCUUGGAUGCACCACUCACCUUUCCUCUCUUUGGUUCUGCUAGCACCACCCUCCCCCAUGUACCCAUCAUGGAUUCAUUUAACUGCCCCUUCCAUCCCCAAAUCAAUCCCCCCAAAUGGCCCCAGGCUGUUGGCCAGUUUAUCUGGGAGGAGGACCAGGAUGAGGACUGAUGGCUGUUGCUAAGUCUGUCCAUCAGUCCAUCCAUUCCUCUGUCCGCUUGAUAAAACCCAUGUGAACCCUGUAAAUUCAUAUCCCCAAAUACUCCCAUAGUCUCUCAGUCCACAUACAGCAGUCCUUCACAGAGGAGUACUGACUCGACAUGUACACGCACACGUUCUCUCUAUUCCUGGAGGAUGAAUUCCUCUUGUAGUCUCUCUUACGUAGCAGUCCUCAUAUACGCUCGCUCUCUGCCCACCAGGACUUGGAUAUUUUACAUAUACAUACAUAUAGGAAUCUCAUGGAUUUUCUCCAGAGGCUCCAGUCAUUGCCCUACAGAUUCACUUGUCUUUUUCUCUGUAUUUCUAUGCAUCUGCUUUCUCUCUUCUCUCCUCUUUAUUAUUCUCCCUCUGAAUAUAUCAUAUAUGUGUGUAAACAUACACAUAUGUCCAAUACAGGAGACAAUAAGCAUACAGAGAGCAAAUUAUAGACGGGAUAAAUAAUUAGCCGAGGGAAGAAUUAAGAGGGGACUUAAAAGAAGUCAGGGAGGCCAUUACUUGGAGUGGAGGGAGAGUUCCAGGCACGAAGGGUAUUUAGAUAAAAUGAAGAUCGAAUGUCUUAAACAUGGAGUGUCUUGUUUGAAGGGACAGUCAAGAGGCCACCAUCAUUGUACUGAAAUGGGUCUAGUGGGCCGUAAGGUGUAAGAACACCAUAACACUAAACGUGUACCGUGACACUCCUUCGUAUGUCUCAGAGCUAAGUGGAGCCACCGUGCUGCGCCCGGAGUUAGGAAGACAUGAGUUCAAAUUCGGCCUCAGCCCCUCAUUAGCUGUUGACCUUGGGUAAGUCACUGAAGGCUCUGUGUCUCAGUUUCCUCAACUAUAAAAUGGGAAUAAAAACAUCUACUUCGCGAGGUGGUUGUCGGGAUCAAAUAACACCAAAAGGUAAGAGGGGGCAAGGUGAUGAAGAGCUUUGAACAUCAAACAGCAUUUUGUAUUUGAUCCUGGAGGCAGUAGGGCCCUGCAGGGCAUGAUCUGACCUGCACUUUAGGACAAUCACUUUGGUGGCUGAAUGGAGUCUGAACCCGUGUGGGGAAAAAACUUGAUGGGGUAGACCCACCAGAAAGCUACUGUAAUAGUCUGGGGAUGAGGGGAGGAGGGUCUGCACCGGGGUGGCGGCAAUGUCAGAGGAGAUAAGGGAUUCAGGAGAUAUUGCAAAAGCUUAAACUAACAGAACUUGCCAACAAAUUGGUUCUGGGGGGGGGUGAGCCGUUGUAAGGAAUUGAGGAUGUCUCCUAGAUUUCGAGCCUGAAGGACUUGGGACGAUGGUGUUGCCCUGAACGGUAAGAGGGAGAGUGGAGGAAAGGUUCAAAGGGAAAGCUAAUUAGAUCUGUUUUGGACAUGUUAAAUUUAAGGUAUCUAUGGGGCAGCAGGAUUGAGAGUCAGGCCUAGAGACAAGAGGUCUUGGGUUCAAAUCUGGCCUCAGACACUUCCUAGCUGGGUGACUGAAUAAAUCACAACCCCCAUCACCUAGCCCUUCUAUUCUGCCUUAGAACCAAUACAUAGUAUUGAUUCUAAUAUGGAAGGGAAUGGUUUAAAAAAGGAUGCUGACACAUUGACACAUUUUGGGAUUCGGUAGGGCAUCAGAGUCAGUGUUCUGAUUUAUGCAUUCAUGGUGAUACCAAUUCCUCCCUUAUAGUCCUAAAAGCAAUGUAACAUCAUGGUGUGAAGAUGACCUUGGAUUCUUGAAGGCUACGCCAACAGAACACAAGCUCCAAAAGAACCAGCAUAUUUGGAAAGGCUUCAGCACAUGAAUGCCAGCUAUUGUUUUAAGAACUGAAGAAGGCAAGGAUCCUUGGGUUUAGAAAGAGCUACAGAACAAAAUUACCCCCGGCAGAUGGCAAGAUGCCAAUCAGCAUCCACUGAGGGAGUUCCUUCCAACGGAAGAGAUCAUUGGUCUGGACCAAAAUACCAACAAAAGAAGUGCUUUCAAAGGCCACUGAUACCAAAUUGUUUUAUUUUUAUGCACUUAAAAACAUUAUUCUGAAAAAGACUUCAUCUGACUUCUAAGGGGGUCCAGGAUGCAAAAAAGUGAAGAAUUAUUUUGUACCAGAGAAAGCAGCUGCUGUAGACAACUGACUACAGCAGCGGGACCCGAAUCCAGAGAGGGGCUGGCUACAGCGGCAUAUGGCAGCCUGCAACGAGCAAACGCUGCCAGUCAGAAAGGCUCCCUACUGCAGAAAGCACAGGAAUCCGUCCUCUGCUCCGGAACUUGGCACAUCCCACCACUAUGGCCCUGCUAGCUGCUUUGGGGAUGACUAUUUCAGGAGGCAGGCCUAGCGGUGAUUAUCCACAGGACUGCUGGAUUUAGAAACAGGAAGAGCAGGGCACUGUAUCCGUGGGGGAUACCUUCCAAGACCUACUGUGGAUGGCUGAAACCAAGGAUGCUAAGCACCCUCAAGUCCCUCAACCACCAAUCAUGUGGAAUAUUGUCCAUUUCCAUCACUAGCUAGGCCUUUGGACUUGCCUUUUUGGCUUCUGGGUCAUACCACUGUCAUAUUCUAAGAUCUUUUCACAUCUAAGUCAUUGCUUAAAAUGCCAAACAGCACAGGGCCAAGAGCAUACCUUUGGGGCAUUCUACUAGUUAUGGAGUCAUCCAAAUCCAGUGGCAAGACAGAAGUGAGGAUAACUGGUGAUGGCCGGCAUCUUCCAUGUCUGACCAAGCUCUAAGUACUCUACAGUGCCUGCUUCAGCCACCUUCAUGGCCUUUGGAACAAAUUCUUCUCAUCUGCCUACUCUUCUGGGGGAAGUCUUCCCAUGCUUGGGGUAGACCCCCUCCUAACUCAGAGACAGGUUUAUGGUCCAUGUGAUCCUGGUUUAGCCCAUUUGCAAAGAUGGCUUCCAGGGGGAAUGACCACCGUGCGUGUGACAGCUCUUUGGAGUCACAGAAUAUAUGUGGUCCAAUGUCCUGAUGUGCCGCCAUCUUUUGAUGAGGAUCCCUUUAUGCAAGUCUUUUGUAAAAAUGACCAACAGCACCGAGUCAAAUCCAGAUCAUGGAGCCUCAGUGUGUGCAGAGAACUGUGCUGUGCUCUGACGGAAAUGCAUCAAGAAAAUGAGGUCUGGUGCCUGCAUGAGCCAAGAAUCAGAGUCCAGAACUGGAUUCUCUGCCUAGAGGAACAAGGAACAAGCUCUCUUUGGAAGCAGUCACCCUUGCUAAGGAGCGGAGGCGGAUCUCCCCUGGAUAGCUGAGCACCCAGCUGCUUGGCCAGGGCCCUUCUCCCUUCGACCGCACAGGACAUUGAGACAUUUACAAGAUUUCUGCUCUUAAGAGAAACUGUAGACCAUAAAACAUGGUGCUUCCCAUUUCCCUUCCAGGAAGAACAGAAAUGAGGCACCUUUGCGAGGUUGCUUAAUCCAUUUACUACCCUGAUUUGCCCCAAAUAUUAGCAAUAGCUCAAAUCUACUAUUUUUAAAAAUGAGGAACAUGUCACUCCAGAAGGCCGUACCAGCCCAAGGAUAUCCAUCAGACAUGCCCCAUGCCAUCACUGUCCGAUACCAUUUGCCUCAAACAGCACUCAGCAUGGAUACUGGGAAAACAUAGGGUUUAGAGGUCCAGCCCCAUGUUUUGUAGUUGAGGAAACCAAGGCAUAGAGUGCUACAAUGACUUGUGCAGAGUCAUUUGAGCAACAACAGAAAGGAGAUUUAGACCCAAGAAUUCUGACUUCAAAUCUUGUCCUCUUUUCUCUUUGUAUAUUUUACCAAAAGACCUUCUUCUGUUUUGUCAACAAGGUCUUAUUUAGGGCUCUUUUUUAAGAGUGAACAAGAAGGCACAAAAAGUCAAUAAAGGAAGGAGAAAGGAGGGAAGAAAAGUGAAGACUGAGGAAGCACUUUGUGCCAGUAUGGAGGCAAGAAACUCUUGCUCGUGGUGGCCAAGCAAAGACUGAAUGCCACUUAAUGGCCAGGUUGUAGAAAAGAGAUUCUGAAUUUUUCAUGUGUCCUGGAUACUGUCCACCUCUGGCAUGGGCUGGCAGGCUGAGGAAGCCUAUAGACUCAUUCUUGGUACCAUGUUUUAAAAACAAAGCUCUGAAAGCAGUGAUGUGGCUCAAUGGAUAGAAAUUCAGUUCUAGAGAUGAAAGGUCCUGGGUUCAAAUCUGACCUCAGACACUUCCUAGCUGUGUGACCCUGGGUAAGUCAUUUAACCCCCCACUGUUUAGCCCUUACAACUCUUCUGCCAACACACCAAUACACAGUAUUAAUUCUAAUAUAUAAGGUGAGGGGUUUAAAUAAAAUAAAACUCUAAGAUUAUACAAGCAGCCAAAGAUUAGUAAAACACCAAAGGAAUCAUUGCUUUUUUCUCCAUCUAAAUUGGCCAGCCUGCCUGGAAACCUAUCCACAGUGGAUCCUCAGUAAAAAGCUCUUGUUGUAGGGGGAAAUUUUUUUCAGGUGUGAGUGGAACUAGACUGUCUCUUAGACCUCUUCCAAGUCUGAAAUUCUGUUAUUCUAUUACUCUAAAAAAAGAUUCAGUGAAAAACACUACAGGAAAUAGAUUACAAUUAGAUGUUGAAUACAUUUAUUAGAUCAGGUAAUAAGGUACAGCGGAAACAGCACAGAGGACAUGAGGCUAAAUCCAAGCUCUGCUCUUCACUCACUACCUAUGUGACCUAGGAAAAAAUAAUUUCUUCUCUCUGGGCCUCAGUUUCUCCAAUGGUGCAAUGAAGGACUGGGACUAGAUGCUCUUUAAAGGAUCCUUCCAACUCUAAAUCCUAUUAUUUUAAGAUCAUGUCUGAAGCCUCUUAGUACUUUCCUUCCUUCCUUCCUUCCUUCCUUCCUUCCUUCCUUCCUUCCUUCCUUCCUUCCUUCCUUCCUUCCUUCCUUCCUUCCUUCCUUCCUUCCUUCCUUCCUUCCCACCUCCCUACUUCCCUUCCUCCCUCCCUCCCUUUCCUUCUAUCUUAGUGAUUCUAAGGCAGAAGAGCAGUUAAGGCUAGGCAAUGGAAGUGAAGCAACUUGCUCAGGAUCCCACAGCUAAGAAGUGUCUGAGGCCAGAUUCAAACCCGGGAUCUCCUAUCUCUAGGUUUGGUUCUCAAGCCACCUAGUUGCUCCCAUGGGUCUUUUUCAAGUUGAAAGGGUCAGAACCAUGCAACCAGAGCCAAAGUGAUCCUGAAUUUGAAAUUCAGAAAAAAUCCAAAGAAGAGCAGCAUCCGUUGCAGACUCUCGCCUUUCCAAUAACAUGUUCGCUUAGUCACUAAGAGCACCUCUUUAAACUUUUCAAGAUAAACCUUCUAUAAGUUGGGAAGUCCUUGGGAGCAUGCCUGCAUCUUGCCUUCUGCUUACUAGAAAAGACAUGUUCACCAGACUUCUCAGAGCCCCAAGUUUUGGAAAACGCAUCCACGCAAGGGCUAACAACCUCACUUUGUUUUUUGAACUUAAAAAAGAAUUUUCCUAGAGGCAACUGGGUGGUUAAGUGUCUAGAGAGCCAGGCCUAGAGACAGGAGGUUCUGGGUUCCAAUUUGACCUCAACGCUUGCUGGGUGACCCUGAGCAAGUCACUUAACCCCCACUGCAUAGUCCUUACUGUGUUUCUGCCUUAUUAGCAUUUACUCUAAGACAGAUGGUACGGGUUUAAAAAAUAAACAUUUUCCUAAGGAGAGAAAGGACACAGGUGGUGUGGUUCCAAGCAAGCCGGUCGCCAUGCUUUAAAUUGUUAAAACUUUAAAUCAUUAAAGUUUCUCUGAGCUUCCCCCAACUUGGACUCCAGGCUGAAAUACAGCACUUAGUUGCUUAGUUAACUCCAUACUAUCUCAAGUGAAGGGGAUCAGAGGCCCUGAGUUCAAAUUGGGGCAGGAAGGCGAAUGGGCAAGUAGCAGUGUUCAUUUUGUUCCAAUGGCUGUACUUCAUCAAACGUGCCAGGCAGCUAAGUACAAAGCACCUGGGCUUAAAAGCAGUAAGGUGAAAAUAAGAAAGGGGGGCCAGGUAACGUCUCUAACUCAGCCCCAACGAAGGAGGGGGUCAGGAAAAUAUGAGGGCAGAGGUAUAGGAAUAGAAGUGUAAGAACUACUGCCAUAUUUCUUUCUGUCAUUUGAAAACGCCCUAUAUUGAUAUAUCAUCUUUUUUUAAUACGAUGUCCAAAUCCUUUCUUUCCAGCCCUCCUGAGGGGUGGGUAGAGAAGGGGGAGCAGAGCAGGCCUAGCCAGGAAAAUGCUUUCAAAUUCCACAUGGGAGGGGAAUACAGGAGGGCACGGUAUCUUUGGAGCCAUUGUUCCAAGGCCUACCACAGAUGGCCAAAACUAUGGAUAUAAGUGACCCCCACAUAUAUGGGCACUCUCUCCCCACUCCUGCUCCUUGGCUCGGUGCUCAUGGCCUCCCUCCCCACCAAAAAAAAAACUGAACAAAAGUGAAAAUAGAAGGAAAAGACACUUCCGGGCAGACCUCCAGGGCUCUGGUUGACCAUGGAUAACUGAAACCAAGAAAAACAAAACCUUGGAGAAGGGAGCCCUACUGUACUGUGGAGUAGUGAGUUCUACUGCGACAGUCCAGUGGUGCCAAGAAAUGACUCUUGGCCCAUGAGUCAACUAUUUCACUUUAAUACAUUUUAGAGGUUUAAUUAAAGCUAGGGAAAGACAUAUGAAACUAUUGGGCUGACUGUCUUGAGGAACUGAAGCCAGGAGAAGGGACCUGAUCAAUGGUUUGGAGACAAUGGAAAGAGCAUUGGACUUGGGAUCCAAAGACCAAAGUUUCGUACCCAGUCCUGCCACUUACUAAAUGCUGUGACUUUGGAUCAGUCUCCCCAUUUGUUUUCUCCUCUGUAAGACAAGGAUGUUGGUCUAGAUGAUCCCUGAGAUCCCAUGAUUUACCCUAAUCAGAAUAAAAAUUGCUUGAGGGCAAGUACUGUGGGUUAUUCUUUUUUUGUCACUGCCAACAGAGAUUGUAGUAGUAGCCAGAGCCUUUACAUUCAGUAAGAACUUAAUGUUUGUUGAAUUUUAAUUCUAAAGCUGGAAGAGAAAGCAAGCAAGUGCUGCUAUACCUGAGAUGCAGAAAGCACUUGGAAAGGAGGUAGAUUGCAAAGUCAACUCUCCUCUUGUCUAGGCGUUUUGUUUGCCCCUGUGAGAAAAUGGAGGCACCUAGGCGAUGCAGUGGAUGGUUCGAAUCUGACCCCAGAAAUUUACUAGUUGUGUGACCCUAACCAAGUCAUUAAAUCACAUCUGCCUCAGUUUCCUCAUCUAUAAGAUGAGCUAGUGAAGGAAAUGGCAAACCACUCCAGUAUCUCUGCCAUGAAAACCCCAAAUAAAGUCACCAAGAAUCUGAAAUGACUGAACAACAAUUAGAGUGUGAGCCCCUGAUGGCCAGGGACCGAUUUCCUUUUCUAUUUGUAUCUCCAGAGCUUACCAUAUAGUAAGUAGUAAAUAAAUAACUUUCUCAUUCAUUCAUAUGUUCUAUGGAAUACUACCAGUAAGUUGUGCCCUACCUAACCCUUUCUCUGUGGCCCUUCAUGGAAAGCACUAUAAAAUGAGGAAGACAAUCUUUGCACUGCCUUCCUCAUCAUCAGCCUUGGUUUAUUCUGAGCUUUAGGGUUCCUAAUGGUAUUCUUAUAGGCCUACAUUAUGCUUCUGCAUUAAUUUUUCACCAGGCCUUUCGUCUGUCUUCUCCACGGCUUUCUCUCUCUCUCUUUCCAAUAAACAAAACCUAAAAACCUCUUACUUUCCAUCUUAAAAUCAAUACUGUGUAUUAGUUCCAAGACAGAAGAGUGGUACGGGUGAGGCAAUGGGGGUGAAGUGACUUACCCAGGGUCACAUGUCUAGGAAGUGUCUGAGGCCAGAUUUGAACCAGGGACCCCCUUCUCCAGGCCUAGUGCUCUAUUCACUGAACCACCUAGAUGCCCCCUCCAUGUCUUUUUAAUCCUUUAAUCCUAAUCUAGUUGGCUCCAAAAACAAGAGAGGAGAAAGUAUCUCCUUUGGAUUCUUGGGAAAUGUAGGGGACCAUAGAUGGGAGACACUGCAGGUAAUGCCAAAUAUUUUCUGACAUGUUGGCCAAUUUUGCUAAAGUUUUUUCUCCCUUUUUCUUUAUUAAAAGGGAUGGCUCUCUGGAAAGGGGGUGGAAAGAGCCACAUACACUGGGAAAUGUAAUUGAUGCAAAACCAAAAGAGAUCAAUAAAAUUUAUUUUUAAAAAACUAUUUGGUCAAUGAAUUCCCUCUGUAUAAGCCUUUGCAGAUGGCCCCUCCCUUUCAUUCCCUCCCUGGACUUGUUCUCUUACUAUCUUUGGAAUCUAACUCUUGUGACGCUUAUGGACUAUGGAAUUUUAGGCUGUUGAUGAUGAUAAUCAUAAUAGAUACCAUUUAUAUAGAGUUUACUAUGCUUGGGGCAUUGUGCUUUACAUUCAUUAUCUCAUUUGAUCCUCACAAAACCCCUGGAAGGUAGGUGCCAUUAUUAUUAUUAUUAUUAUUAUUAUUUUAUUAUUAUUAUUAUCAUUUUACAGAUGAGAAAAGUGAGGCAAACUGAGGCUAAAUGAUCCACUCACAGUUAUGCAGUUACUAAGUGUUUGAGAUGGAAUUUGAACUCGGAUCUUCCUAACUCCAGGCUUGAAGUUUUAGCCACUGGGCUGUCUGGGGCCUAGAAGCUAUCUACCACUUUUAUGAACCCUUUGAAAUGCACUUCCCCCAAGUCUAGAGUGAAUGUCAGACUAUGCCCAGUUUUCUUCUUGUUCUUUCAUGAAUUCUAAGACUAGUUAUUUCCCCUCAGUGUUUGCAACAUUUUUAUUUCAGCAAAUCUCAUCCUCCUCCAAUGACUCCUCCACCUUUCGAAGGCUCAAAUGUUCAGUAAAGCAUGCCUAGAACUGAGUAGCCACUUUGCUUUUCCAGAGAGUUCCAGCAGUUUCAACCAUCACUACUACAUCAUGCUUCCAUGUGGGGCUUUUGAUCUGUUUCUCAAAGUCCUUCCUCCUCCUUCCUUCUGCCCAUGAGUUCUUUAGUAUUUUGUGAUCACUUGGCUUUUUAUUUCCCCCUCUACUAAUGUUCCCUCAAAUGUUACCAUGUCUCUUUUUGCAGGAUUCCCUGAUGAGUGUGUUUUUUAACCCAGAAAAAACAGUGCCAUCAACUCCUUUUUUACUUACUGUUUUCUUCUAAAGUAAGGUCUACCCUUUCAGAGUCAUUUUGUAGUGGUUCCUUCAAGUCACAGUGAUACCUGGAUUUGUCUCCUUUUAUUAGGGAACAUAGGACCAUCUUUUUAAAGCUGAAGAGGAUCUUCUAGUCCAACUCACCCAUUUUGCAGAAAAGGAAACUGAGUCUAUAAUUCUCUGAUAAAAAUAAUUAAUUGGAGCUGGGUUUAGAGACGGCAUCCUCAGUGAAUUAUAUCUCUUACAUGGGGGGGUGUAUAUUUUUUCAUAGGCUAUCAGUGUGGAAAGACACAAGCAAAAAGUAGGGUCCUCUUCGAAUCACUUAGAUAUGCUUAAAUUCAAGUUAGGUCACUCCCACAAUUCCAGGCUAAUCAGCUAAUGCCAUAGUGCCCCCAGACAGUCCCCUAAGACUGCUGGUUGUAGGGGAGGUGCAGAUCCGUUUUGGUAGAGAGAUUCCACUUACUGGGAGUUCCCUCUACCAGUGAAACCACAGGUCUCCUCUAUCUCUGUCUCAGCCUCAAUAAAACUCUUUAAGACUGCAUAAAAGUUGCAGGAGAGUUGCCCAUCUACUUUGGUGGUUCUUCAUUGGCCAUUCAAGAGUUUUCUCACUAGGAAGGUCCCUACAUGGAAAUUACAGGUCCCAAAAUGGAGCUACGGCCCACAAAAGGAAAGCGACUCAGCCCCAUAGUACACGGGCCAUCCAUCCAUCUAAGGGGUGGCCGGGAUCUGGAGGCACUCUUCCUACUACACCACACUGCCGCUGUUUGCUUCAGGGAGGAGAACUGGACAGGACAGAACAGGACCCGAUAGGAGGAAGUUCACUGGAAGUCCCAAGGCGUGGCGGGGAGACCCAAAGGCAGAGAGACACACACAAAGCAAAGGGGAGCCCCGGGGGCUUGUUUGGGGCGGUGGAAAAGUGGAGGGAAUGGCUUGGGAGAAGGGCUACAAAGUGGGAAGAAAGAGGAUUGGGGAGGAAGCCUGGAGGGUGGAUGUUGUUGUGCUCCCGAGGGGUGGGAGAGGGAUACCCCCGAGCCCGGAAGUGACUCCAAAGCUCCAAUGGCCGGGCUAAAGGGGCGCGCCUUACCUUAG